AAUUCUGUGAGUUUCCGCGUGGUAACUCCCAGGAAGGGCAUCCUGGCUGUUUGGAGACAGCUCUAUGGGAGGCUGAGAGGAAGAGGGAGAACACAGAGCUUCCCCUCAUCUGACCCAGCCUUUAGAGCCCUGAACUAUCUGCACAGAACAGAAGAAUCUUCUUCAGAGCUUCAGAGGACAAGUGAAAUAUUUCAAGUUUCCAUUGUUGGAAGAAUGAUGGAAAACCCAAAGGAAUCUAAACCUUCCUUCUCUGGUCACCCUGGUAGCCACCUCAGAAGACUCAGAGACAUUUUGGUGAGGCUCACACAGGUGAGUAGCUUUAGUUAUGGGAAUCUU
This 336-nucleotide long non-coding RNA is filed under the name Parus major (Great Tit). RNAcentral's name for it is "lncRNA (ENSPMJG00000001002.1)". Lineage: Eukaryota; Metazoa; Chordata; Aves; Passeriformes; Paridae. The record is from RNAcentral.